GAUAAACAAAAAAUGCUGGAGUAACUCAGCGGGUCAGGCAGCAUCUCUGGAAAAAGAGGAUGGAAGGAAUGGGUGUCGUUUCGGGUCGAGACCCUUCUUCAGAUUGAAGUCAGGGGAGAGGG
Amblyraja radiata (thorny skate) is the source of this 122-nucleotide long non-coding RNA. RefSeq lists it as uncharacterized. NCBI's taxonomy places the organism in Eukaryota, Metazoa, Chordata, Chondrichthyes, Rajiformes, Rajidae. The transcript has 3 exons. The record is from RefSeq and is a predicted model, not a curated record.